This 499-nucleotide ribosomal RNA is filed under the name uncultured bacterium. RNAcentral describes it as "bacterial SSU rRNA". It matches the Rfam family "Bacterial small subunit ribosomal RNA", at positions 29 to 505 of the family's 1533-position model. The record is from RNAcentral.
AACAAACGCUGGCGGCGUGCCUAACACAUGCAAGUCGAACGUGAAAGUUGGCUUCGGCCGACGAGUAAAGUGGCGCACGGGUGAGUAACGCGUGGAUAAUCUGCCCUUCAGUUGGGAAUAACUCAUCGAAAGGUGAGCUAAUACCGAAUAACACUGCCUGACCACGGUCCGGUAGUCAAAGAUAGCCUCUGCUUGCAAGCUUUCGCUGAAAGAUGAGUCCGCGUACCAUUAGCUAGUUGGUGGGGUAAUGGCCUACCAAGGCGACGAUGGUUAGCUGGUCUGAGAGGAUGAUCAGCCACACUGGAACUGAGACACGGUCCAGACUCCUACGGGAGGCAGCAGUGAGGAAUCUUGCGCAAUGGGGGAAACCCUGACGCAGCAACGCCGCGUGAGUGAGGAAGGUCUUCGGAUCGUAAAGCUCUGUCGGGUGAAAGAAAUGUAUGGGGUUAAUAGCCUUCAUACUUGACGGUACCACCAAAGGAAGCACCGGCUAACUCCG